UGUCAAAAAGUCAACAAACAUGGAGUGACAUCAAAUUUCAGCAUUUGUAGGAUUUAUUAUUUUGUUUUUGGCAAGUACGACAAACAAAAACUCUUCAACAACGAGCUCAGCAUGAGUGGAAGACAAGGCGGAACUGUGGAGAGUGUUUUUUUUUUCCACACCAGGUGACUGAGACGUCUCGGUAUGGGGCCGGCGUUCGCCGAGAAGGAACACAUCCAACUUCUCAGCCGGGAUGUCCACCUUCAGACAUCGAUCGAGCGCUAAUUAAAACAUUUGGAUUCUGCCGGCCUGCUCUGGAGGAGUGUGUGUCUGAGUAUGUGUGUGGGAGACAUGAGAGUGAAGAGGAGUCGAGGAAGGAAGUGUUGCAACUCCAAAAGCUGCCCAUCCUUCUGAGAACUAGAAACCUGUUGUGCGUGGUGCCAACCACUUCACGAUAAGCUGAAGUGGUGUUUUGAUGUGGAGAUAGACGAGGCUUGGACCGGGGCCAGAGUGCGGCGCAGUGAUUAACCAAAGCAGCCUGGGGUGGGAAAGUGGAAGCAGGAGAAGUUGUUUUUUUUUUUACAUCAAAGAUCUUUGGUGUCACGGCCUCUUUAUUCUUCUAAUAUUGUGUUUGCAGGCAAGACACUACUUUGCUUUAUUAUUACGCCGCAUUAUUAUCACACAUUAUUAUCAUCUGUUGCUUCAAGGCAAGCAAUGUUGUGGGAUUAUGUUCAUACAGUAUGUCUGCCUGUCAGUAAAAUGUAUCACAAUCCAAAAAAACAUAUUUUAAUGACACUUUCAAAAAAGUAGUAAUCAGGUGCAAA
Long non-coding RNA from Austrofundulus limnaeus, 803 nucleotides. RefSeq lists it as uncharacterized. NCBI's taxonomy places the organism in Eukaryota, Metazoa, Chordata, Actinopteri, Cyprinodontiformes, Rivulidae. The transcript is spliced from 3 exons. The record is from RefSeq and is a predicted model, not a curated record.